Molecule: long non-coding RNA, 239 nt
Organism: Bactrocera neohumeralis
Lineage: Eukaryota; Metazoa; Arthropoda; Insecta; Diptera; Tephritidae
Exons: 3
Source: RefSeq, a predicted model, not a curated record
AGACGAAUGCCCCAUUUUUCAAGAAGAAGAAAACGAACAGCGCAGUUUAUUUUGGUUUUUAAAGAGAGUAAACGAAAAAGAUUAACAACGAGGAAAAGAAAUCAUUUGGAGCGUUUGGAUGCGUAUAACAAAGACGCACCUUUCAAUUAGCCGCAUCACCGGUGACUUGGAGGACGAGCAUUACGUGGAGCUCGCUAUUAGUUUAAGUAAAUAUUUGAUUAUUGUGAUGUUAUUAUGAA